UACGUAGGGGGCGAGCGUUGUCCGGAAUUACUGGGCGUAAAGGGUGCGUAGGCGGCCGAUUAAGUUGGAUGUGAAAUCCCCGUGCUCAACAUGGGAGGUGCAUUCAAAACUGGUUGGCUAGAGUACAGGAGAGGGAAGCGGAAUUCCUAGUGUAGCGGUGAAAUGCGUAGAUAUUAGGAGGAACACCAGUGGCGAAGGCGGCUUUCUGGACUGACACUGACGCUGAGGCACGAAAGCGUGGGGAGCAAACAGGAUUAGAUACCCUGGUAGUCCACGCUGUAAACGAUGAAUACUAGGUGUAGGGGGUAUGAACUCCCUCUGUGCCGCAGCUAACGCAAUAAGUAUUCCGCCUGGGGAGUACGGCCGCAAGGUUGAA
RNAcentral lists this ribosomal RNA (376 nucleotides) under uncultured bacterium. RNAcentral's name for it is "bacterial SSU rRNA". It matches the Rfam family "Bacterial small subunit ribosomal RNA", at positions 524 to 898 of the family's 1533-position model. The record is from RNAcentral.